Molecule: ribosomal RNA, 253 nt
Filed under: uncultured bacterium
Lineage: Bacteria
Description: partial 16S ribosomal RNA
Rfam family: Bacterial small subunit ribosomal RNA
Source: RNAcentral
UACGUAGGGGGCAAGCGUUAUCCGGAAUUACUGGGUGUAAAGGGAGCGUAGACGGUAAUGUAAGUGUGGAGUGAAAGGCGGGGGCCCAACCCCCGGACUGCUCUGGAAACUAUGUUACUAGAGUGCAGGAGAGGAGAGUGGAAUUCCAUGUGUAGCGGUGAAAUGCGUAGAUAUAUGGAGGAACACCGGUGGCGAAAGCGGCUCUCUGGCCUGUAACUGACACUGAGGCUCGAAAGCGUGGGGAGCAAACAGG